CAUGAACACUGCUCUUGUCCAUCUUAGCAUCCCUCAA
This 37-nucleotide small RNA is filed under the name Arabidopsis thaliana (thale cress). Its description in RNAcentral is "ATSL136850". Lineage: Eukaryota; Viridiplantae; Streptophyta; Magnoliopsida; Brassicales; Brassicaceae. The record is from RNAcentral.